AUUGAACGCUGGCGGCAGGCCUAACACAUGCAAGUCGAGCGGAUGAAGGGAGCUUGCUCCUGGAUUCAGCGGCGGACGGGUGAGUAAUGCCUAGGAAUCUGCCUGGUAGUGGGGGAUAACGUCCGGAAACGGGCGCUAAUACCGCAUACGUCCUGAGGGAGAAAGUGGGGGAUCUUCGGACCUCACGCUAUCAGAUGAGCCUAGGUCGGAUUAGCUAGUUGGUGGGGUAAAGGCCUACCAAGGCGACGAUCCGUAACUGGUCUGAGAGGAUGAUCAGUCACACUGGAACUGAGACACGGUCCAGACUCCUACGGGAGGCAGCAGUGGGGAAUAUUGGCCAAUGGGCGAAAGCCUGGUCCAGCCAUGCCGCGUGUGUGAAGAAGGUCUUCGGAUUGUAAAGCCCUUUAAGUUGGGAGGAAGGGCAGUAAGUUAAUACCUUGCUGUUUUGACGUUACCAACAGAAUAAGCACCGGCUAACUUCGUG
RNAcentral lists this ribosomal RNA (484 nucleotides) under uncultured bacterium. Its description in RNAcentral is "partial 16S ribosomal RNA". It matches the Rfam family "Bacterial small subunit ribosomal RNA", at positions 30 to 507 of the family's 1533-position model. The record is from RNAcentral.